GAGAUCAUAAAGAUUCAAGCAGCUCUCACAAAGAACAACUCAUUAAGAAAGAGAAAAUCCCUUUGGAUGUAGAUAGAAGAUUUUAAACAGAAAAAUAUGUGAUGCUCUCUAAACUGCCCUGGCGUUCUCUUUUCAACUGGAGAUGCUAUGUAAGGACCUAAAUGGCCGUAAACAGUGGCUUAACAGUCAAAACUAGGGGCUGGGACACACAGCAACUAUCUCGACAUUCAUCAACGAAGGUUGCAGUUGAUCAGCAAUCAGGCAUUGGAAUUAGAAGAAACUCAUUUAAGACAUGUUGUCGAGCAUCUGUUAUGCAGUCAUAUUUUCCAAUUUCCACAACACAUUGUAUAUGUUCUGAACUAGAAAAUUGAACCCAUAUCUACCCCGACAAAAUUUGGCAAAGAAGUUCUCUUGGAGGCUACAAGUGUGUUAGUCAUUGUUAUUACGGAAAUGCUUAUUGCUGGGCUUAAACAAUUGAUGUUGCGGAUGAAUCCAUUCGUCCCAUUCAAAUGAGGCAGUAAUAGCAUCUAACUAAAGAAGCAAUAGUGUCGCUAUGCAGUUGAUCUCAUAAAUUUGUGAGGGUGAAGCAAUUGUCGUAGCUAAAGUAGAAGAAACGGAUCCAGGUGAAAUAGAAGCAUCCAAGAAGCCUAAACGCUUUGCUCGGGCCUAAUUAUGCUAAAUGAUUGUCAUUCAAAAUGGCUUGCCAAAGUGGACUGAAAAUCCAUUUCUAUGCUAACAUGCCACCAUCAUAUCUUUGUCUCCAUCAAAUUAAUGCUAACCCAAUGGACAAAAUGAGAACCUUAGUAUAUUACUGGGAUUGCUUCUUGCUAAUGUCGGCGAUCGCUCUAGCAACCUUGUUUGGAGGUCUGGAAUGCAGUGCUACCUCAAAAAAGGUCACUAAGAGGACCAUGAAAUGCUUCACCUACCUUGACGGUGGUUGUUAAUUGCUUCUUGCUAUCUGAGCUUGCAACUAUUCUGUUUGCAACUUUUAGUCGGUGGAAACUGUUUCUGUGGUUACCUAGAUAAUUGCUGCUGAAGGCUUUAGUUUUCUACAGCAGCGAGCAGAAGCCAACAUAUCUCCAUAUCGAUUUAAAAUUUGGAAUAGUGCUACAUGUAUACUUUCGUGUACAUAACCGUUGAUAUCUCUCUCACAUAAAAGAGAGACCACCUCCUCCAUGUGAGGGAGUGCGGGGGCAGACGCACAUAUUUUACAUUAGGAGAUUACAAUCUAUUUUUAGAAAAAAC
RNAcentral lists this long non-coding RNA (1245 nucleotides) under Olea europaea (common olive). RNAcentral describes it as "long non-coding RNA (OEUR_LNC005071)". The record is from RNAcentral. Lineage: Eukaryota; Viridiplantae; Streptophyta; Magnoliopsida; Lamiales; Oleaceae.